RNAcentral lists this ribosomal RNA (275 nucleotides) under Salmonella enterica. RNAcentral describes it as "partial 23S ribosomal RNA". It matches the Rfam family "Bacterial large subunit ribosomal RNA", at positions 2668 to 2925 of the family's 2925-position model. The record is from RNAcentral. RNAcentral also lists the same sequence under 1 other name. Lineage: Bacteria; Pseudomonadati; Pseudomonadota; Gammaproteobacteria; Enterobacterales; Enterobacteriaceae.
GGGGCUGCUCCUAGUACGAGAGGACCGGAGUGGACGCAUCACUGGUGUUCGGGUUGUCAUGCCAAUGGCACUGCCCGGUAGCUAAAUGCGGAAGAGAUAAGUGCUGAAAGCAUCUAAGCACGAAACUUGCCCCGAGAUGAGUUCUCCCUGAGACUUAGAGUCUCCUGAAGGAACGUUGAAGACGACGACGUUGAUAGGCCGGGUGUGUAAGCGCAGCGAUGCGUUGAGCUAACCGGUACUAAUGAACCGUGAGGCUUAACCUUACAACGCCGAAG